This 244-nucleotide ribosomal RNA is filed under the name uncultured bacterium. Its description in RNAcentral is "partial small subunit ribosomal RNA". It matches the Rfam family "Bacterial small subunit ribosomal RNA", at positions 26 to 285 of the family's 1533-position model. The record is from RNAcentral.
AGAAUCAACGCUGGCGGCGUGCCUAACACAUGCAAGUCGAACGAGAAAGUGGAGCAAUCCAUGAGUAAAGUGGCGCACGGGUGAGUAACACGUGACUAACCUACCCUUGAGUGGGGGAUAACCUAGGGAACCUGGGCUAAUACCGCAUAAUACCGAGAGGUCAAAGGAGCAAUUCGCUUAAGGAGGGGGUCGCGGCCGAUUAGUUAGUUGGCGGGGUAAUGGCCCACCAAGACUAUGAUCGGUA